Molecule: long non-coding RNA, 3298 nt
Filed under: Sorghum bicolor (sorghum)
Lineage: Eukaryota; Viridiplantae; Streptophyta; Magnoliopsida; Poales; Poaceae
Description: long non-coding RNA (SBIC_LNC005934)
Source: RNAcentral
CAGGUACUUAUACAUCAGGUGGCGCUCAGCUCUCAGUCUCCCGAUCCUACAUACAAGGAAGACUCGGCCGUCUGUGCCGUUACAUCAUGCGCAUGCACGUCGUGACCGCGCUCUGCGCCAUGACUCCGUCUUGGCCGCUUGCUGCGCCUUCGCUCCGCGUGCGUCGUGGCCGCCCGUUGGGCUGAGGACUCGGUCAGGCACAUACUUCCGUUAUCAGUCUGCUUGUCAGAAUUCAAAUGAUGAUAUGACAAUCUUAAUUUCUAGCUGUUCAUGUGUCUUAAUUUUUAAGAAAUUUUAGGCAACAAUCUUACACAAUUGAAAAUGAUAUAACAAUAUAACAUUUAAAUGAUAAUUCACCCCCUCUCUCUAUAUAUAGCUAAACGAUAACAAAAUUGUAUUAGCUGUUUACGCACUCACAGUCGCAGCAACGUGAACGCAUCACGGCGAACCGGCGGCCAGCAGCGGAGCGCUGUCACACCAUGAAGGAAGAAGCAGCACAGGAUGGAGACACCUCACCCUCUCACCUCAGCACCAGCACCACCAGUCGCCACGGCACCCGUCCGUCCGUGGUCAGAGGAUUAUAGGGGAGCGUCAGCGUCAGUGGUCGUGGUCAGACACGAGACGCGGUCCGAGGCCGAUUGAUUUGUGAUUAGCACAUGGCCAAGCAGAUUACGUACUAGUACUACUUUUCCCUCCUAAUCGGCCGUCAGUCCCCUGUCCCUACCGUCCAGUGACGAAUCAACGGCCCUCCACACUGGGCCCCACCCACUUCUCUCGCCUCCGCUCGAUGCUUCCUGCCCCGAUCGCCGGCCGCCUCGCUGUCCGCGCGCCCGGUCAACCGCGUCGUGCUCUGCUCCUGCAUUGCACUGCAGCCUGCAGCCCCCCACCGACUGCGAACUCGCGAUGGCCGCCUGCCUCCUCGCUUACAAGUGCCAGGAUUAGAUUAUUGCACUAGGGCCUCGUUUACUUCCAAUUUUUUUUUUGCAAAAUAUGAAUAGUAGCACUUUCGUUUGUAUUUGACAAAUAUUGUCUAAUUAUAGACUAACUAGGCUCAAAAGAUUCGUCUCGGAAAUUUCGACCAAACUGUAUAAUUAGUUUUUAUUUUCAUCUAUAUUUAAUACUCUAUGCAUACGUCUAAAGAUUCGAUGUGACGGGGAAUCUGAAAAGUUUUGCAAAAUUUUUGGGAACUAAACAAGGCCUAGAUAGAUGCCCUGAACAGUAACAGUAUGGAUCAAUUUCUCGCCGUAAGCUGAUGGCGAACUCUCCUAUUACCGCAUUGUUUAAUGGUCUAAUCGCCCCGUAGAUCCAGCUCGACACGGCAGCUUAAGACCAGUCUCUUCCUCCCUUUCAGCUUGGCAUCUCCUCCCUUCCUUGCUUGGCUAGCGUUCUCACCCCCCUGCCACCUCGCCCGCUCUCCUGUCUCCUCCCCACCCUUCCCCUCCCUCGGGCGGCGUCUCGUCGGGAGUAAAGGGGGCUGCUUUGGGCGCGGCGCGGCGCAGCCCCCCUCAGAUCUGGGCCGGCGGCGGUGGCGGCGAGCGGCAGGAGCAGGACGGCGGAGGGCGGGAUGAAGUCGUCGCUGAGGACCCGGCAGGAGCCGCGGCGGGUCAGCAACGGCGUCAUCAUCGGCGCCAUGCUGCUGUCCCUCUGCGUCCUCAGCAUCGUCAAGGCCAGAUACUGCGCCACCCCCUUCGGUGCGUUGCGUGCUGCGUGUGCGGUGUGCGUGCGUGCGUGCGUUCGCUCGUCACCUUCCCCUCUCUCAUCUCGUCCCUUUCCUUCGUCUGUCUGGAGAUGGUGGUGGGGACUGCGUGGGGAGCUGCCCUUGCUGACGCUGCUGUGGUGUGGUUCGUGCAGGCAAGGCCGAGGACCAGCUCCAGGAGCAGAUGAACUCCAGCAUCAGGAUGGAGCCGGAGGAGUCGUCGCCGGCCAGGACGCCCGGAGGUCUGUCUGCUCUGCUCUGCUCUGCUCUGCUCCCGGAACCAAAUCGAGCUCCAGGGUUUCUAAUCUCUCGGAAAUUCGGCCUCCCCACGGUCUGCGCUGACAAAUUUCUUUUCUCUCUCUUGCGGUCUCUCAGAGGAGGAGGACGAGCAGGAAGAGGAAGAAGAAGAAAACGGGGCAUCGGCGACCCCCGCCACCACCACGGCGCCUGCGGUGACGAAGACGACGCCGACGGCCGUCCCGGCCACCGCCGGCAACAGGGGCAAGGUGAGCAAGGGCGGCAAGGGCAAGCCGACGUGCUACAUGACGAGCAAGCGGUCGGAGCGGUGCGACGCGUCAGGUGACAUCCGGGUGGACGGGAACCGCUCCGCCAUCUACGUCAGCGGGAUAGACAAGGAGUGGAAGACCAAGCCGUACGCGCGCUACCACGACCCCGUGGCCAUGGCCCACGUCCGCGAGUACACCCUCAAGCCGCUCCCGGCGGCGGAGGCGCCGGCGUGCACCAGGAACCACUCCGUCCCUGGCUUCCUCUUCUCCAACGGCGGCUUCUCCGGCAACCUGUACCACGACUACACCGACGUGCUGGUGCCGCUGUUCAUCAGCACCCACCAGUUCCGUGGCCGCGUGCAGUUCCUGCUCAGCGGGAUGAAGCCGUGGUGGGUGGCCAAGUUCACCCCGUUCUUCCGGCAGCUCACCAAGUACGACGUCAUCGACGUGGACAACGACCAGGAGGUGCACUGCUUCCCCCGGAUCGUGGCCGGCGCCACCUUCCACAAGGACAUGGGCGUCGACCCACGCCGGUCGCCGGGCCACGUCUCCGUGGUGGACUUCAAGCGCGCGCUGCGCCGCGCGUUCGGCCUGGAGCGCGAGGCGGCGUCCCGCGGCGGCGCCACGGGCCACGGCAAGCCACGCCUCCUCAUCAUCUCCCGCCGUGGCUCCCGCCGGUUCCUGAACGAGCGUGAGAUGGCGCGGGCCGCCGCCGACGCCGGGUUCGAGGUGCGUGUGGCGGAGCCCGACCAGCACACGGACAUGGCCACGUUCGCGGCGCUGGUGAACUCGGCGGACGUGAUGGUGGGCGUGCACGGCGCCGGGCUCACCAACAUGGUGUUCCUGCCCCGCGGCGCCGUGCUCAUCCAGGUGGUGCCGUUCGGCGGGCUGGAGUGGCUCACCAGCGUCACCUUCAAGGACCCCGCCGCGGACAUGGAGGUGAACUACAUGGACUACAACGUGAAGCUGGAGGAGAGCUCGCUGCUGGACCAGUACCCGAGGAACCACCAGGUGCUCACCGACCCCUACGCCGUGCACAAGCAGGGCUGGGACGCGCUCAAGACGGCGUACCUGGACAAGCAGAACAUCCGGAUGG